This 874-nucleotide ribosomal RNA is filed under the name Triticum aestivum (bread wheat). Its description in RNAcentral is "partial small subunit ribosomal RNA". Lineage: Eukaryota; Viridiplantae; Streptophyta; Magnoliopsida; Poales; Poaceae. The record is from RNAcentral.
AGGGUCUACAGGUUCUGAACUUAUCCUUAGGCCUCGUUCGAUCCCCACAGAACUCCCGAGCCGCCGACCCACAUGAGCCAUUUCUUCCGAUUUGCCGCCGGUGAAGAAAGGUGGGCGGGUGAGUCCAUGAGUCCGUAAGGUGUGAAUCCACGCCAACCUCGUUGAGUCUAGCGGAGCGGCAGGGAGGGCCAUUGCGAGCGCGGCGCGCUGCUGAACCGGCGGCUAGUGGCUGUGGUGGAGAUGCUGGAGGUUGGUGGCACCGAGGAGGCGGUGAGGGAGCACCGGUUCACGGAUUUUCUGGACGAAAUCAUGCGAUUCGGUCUAAGUUUGUUGGUGGCAAGGCAACAAUGUCAGCGCAACAAAUGUCCCAAAAAGAAUGGUUGUUCGGAUGGAGGAUGCUGAAGAAUGGCUGGAUGGACAGAGGAUGGCCUGCUGCGAUGGUCCAUGGGAGGUAUGGGGGUAACAGAGGCAAGAUGCAUAUAAGGAGACCGUUGGAUAAUCAAAUAGCAGCAAGAUGUUAGUGGCUUCUGGGGACGGCAUGGCUCCUACAAAAUGUGAAGUACCAGCUAAUGGCUUCAAUUGCUAGCUUCAAGGAGACGGCUGUAGGGUUACCUCAUCAUCGUCGUCAUCUCUGCCGCCACCGCUGCUUCUUCGACGUCUACGUCUCAAGGUGGGAAUGGGCCGGGUCGACCCACCGGGUCUUUGGCCCGACCCAAAAAAACAAGGCCAAUGGGUCAGUCGGGUCGGCCUCAUACAAAAAUCGGGCCAGUAGAGCCGGCACGGAGUGCCCAUCGGGUCAGCGGGGCCGACCCACCUCCGAGAGUACUGGAGUCAAUCGGUAUCGCCAAAUCCAUCUUACUAGCUUAGCUUAUCU